GUGUCAGCCGCCGCGGUAAUACGGAGGGUGCUAGCGUUGUUCGGAAUUACUGGGCGUAAAGGGCGCGUAGGCGGCCGUUUGCGUCGGAUGUGAAAGCCCGGGGCUCAACCUCGGAACGGCAUUCGAUACGGGACGGCUGGAGACCGGGAGAGGAGAGUGGAAUAGCCAGUGUAGAGGUGAAAUUCGUAGAUAUUGGCUGGAACACCGGUGGCGAAAGCGGCUCUCUGGCCCGGUUCUGACGCUGAGGCGCGAAAGCGUGGGGAGCAAACAGGAUUAGAAACCCCCGUAGUCC
RNAcentral lists this ribosomal RNA (292 nucleotides) under uncultured bacterium. RNAcentral's name for it is "partial 16S ribosomal RNA". It matches the Rfam family "Bacterial small subunit ribosomal RNA", at positions 505 to 796 of the family's 1533-position model. The record is from RNAcentral.